Molecule: ribosomal RNA, 403 nt
Filed under: uncultured bacterium
Lineage: Bacteria
Description: bacterial SSU rRNA
Rfam family: Bacterial small subunit ribosomal RNA
Source: RNAcentral
GGGGAAUAUUGGGCAAUGGGCGCAAGCCUGACCCAGCAACGCCGCGUGAAGGAUGAAGGCCUUCGGGUUGUAAACUUCUUUGAUCAGGGACGAAAAAAAUGACGGUACCUGAGGAACAAGCCACGGCUAACUACGUGCCAGCAGCCGCGGUAAUACGUAGGUGGCGAGCGUUAUCCGGAUUUACUGGGUGUAAAGGGCGUGUAGGCGGGCUGACAAGUCGGAUGUGAAAUUCCCGGGCUUAACCCGGGCGGGUCAUCCGAAACUGUCGGUCUUGAGUACUGGAGAGGAUAGUGGAAUUCCUAGUGUAGCGGUAAAAUGCGUAGAUAUUAGGAGGAACACCAGUGGCGAAGGCGGCUAUCUGGACAGUAACUGACGCUGAGGCGCGAAAGCGUGGGGAGCAAAC